Non-coding RNA from Arachis ipaensis, 189 nucleotides. Lineage: Eukaryota; Viridiplantae; Streptophyta; Magnoliopsida; Fabales; Fabaceae. The record is from RefSeq and is a predicted model, not a curated record.
AAAAUAUAAGAGAGAAAAAAAAAGAAAAAAACAGGGAAAAAAAAAGGAAAAAAAACGAAAAAAAAAUCGGAGGAGCCUGCCGGAGAUGAGGCCAUUACGGCUCGCCUUCAGGUGUCCUCCUCGGGAUAGGGUCAUUUAAAGAACGAGGGUCAGCACGACGUAAAAAAAAAGAAAAAAAGGGAAAAAAAC